This 495-nucleotide ribosomal RNA is filed under the name uncultured bacterium. RNAcentral describes it as "partial 16S ribosomal RNA". It matches the Rfam family "Bacterial small subunit ribosomal RNA", at positions 28 to 507 of the family's 1533-position model. The record is from RNAcentral.
GACGAACGCUGGCGGCGUGCCUAAUACAUGCAAGUCGAACGCUGAAGGAGGAGCUUGCUUCUCUGGAUGAGUUGCGAACGGGUGAGUAACGCGUAGGUAACCUGCCUGGUAGCGGGGGAUAACUAUUGGAAACGAUAGCUAAUACCGCAUAAGAGUAGAUGUUGCAUGACAUUUGCUUAAAAGGUGCAAUUGCAUCACUACCAGAUGGACCUGCGUUGUAUUAGCUAGUUGGUGGGGUAACGGCUUACCAAGGCGACGAUACAUAGCCGACCUGAGAGGGGGAUCGGCCACACUGGGACUGUGACACGGCCCAGACUCCUACGGGAGGCAGCAGUAGGGCAUCUUCGGCAAUGGACGGAAGUCUGACCGAGCAACGCCGCGUGAGUGAAGAAGGGUUUCGGAUCGUAAAGCUCUGUUGUAAGAGAAGAACGAGUGUGAGAGUGGAAAGUUCACACUGUGACGGUAUCUUACCAGAAAGGGACGGCUAACUACGUG